RNAcentral lists this ribosomal RNA (487 nucleotides) under uncultured bacterium. RNAcentral's name for it is "bacterial SSU rRNA". It matches the Rfam family "Bacterial small subunit ribosomal RNA", at positions 29 to 521 of the family's 1533-position model. The record is from RNAcentral.
AGUGAACGCUGGCGGCAUGCCUAACACAUGCAAGUCGAACGAUCUUUGGCAGUUUAUCGUCAGAGGUAGUGGCAAACGGGUGAGUAAUACGUGGACAAUCUUCCCUCGAGCGGGGGGAUAACUCCGGGAAACCGGAGCUAAUACCGCGUGAGACCACGUCCUGGCAUCGGGAUGGGGUUAAAGCUCCGCAAGGGGCACUUGAGGAGGGGUUCACGGCCUAUCAGCUAGUUGGCGGGGUUAAAGCCCACCAAGGCGACGACGGGUAACCGGUCUGAAAGGACGACCGGUCACAAUGGCACUGAGACACGGGCCAUACUCCUACGGGAGGCAGCAGUGGGGAAUUUUCCGCAAUGGGCGAAAGCCUGACGGAGCGACGCUGCGUUGAGGAUUGAAGGCCCUACGGGGUUGUAAACUCAUUUUGUGCAGGACGAGAGAGGACUGUACUGCAAGAAUAAGCCACGGCAAACUACGUGCCAGCAGCCGCGGU